AACGAACGCUGGCGGCAUGCCUAAUACAUGCAAGUCGAACGAGAUCUUCGGAUCUAGUGGCGCACGGGUGCGUAACGCGUGGGAAUCUGCCCUUGGGUUCGGAAUAACUUCUGGAAACGGAAGCUAAUACCGGAUGAUGACGUAAGUCCAAAGAUUUAUCGCCCAAGGAUGAGCCCGCGUAGGAUUAGGUAGUUGGUGAGGUAAAGGCUCACCAAGCCGACGAUCCUUAGCUGGUCUGAGAGGAUGAUCAGCCACACUGGGACUGAGACACGGCCCAGACUCCUACGGGAGGCAGCAGUAGGGAAUAUUGGACAAUGGGCGAAAGCCUGAUCCAGCAAUGCCGCGUGAGUGAUGAAGGCCUUAGGGUUGUAAAGCUCUUUUAACCGGGAUGAUAAUGACAGUACCGGGAGAAUAAGCUCCGGCUAACUCCGUG
Molecule: ribosomal RNA, 433 nt
Filed under: uncultured bacterium
Lineage: Bacteria
Description: partial 16S ribosomal RNA
Rfam family: Bacterial small subunit ribosomal RNA
Source: RNAcentral